RNAcentral lists this transfer RNA (63 nucleotides) under Paraglenea fortunei. Its description in RNAcentral is "tRNA-His". Lineage: Eukaryota; Metazoa; Arthropoda; Insecta; Coleoptera; Cerambycidae. The record is from RNAcentral.
AUUCAGAUAGUUUAAAAAAAAUAUUGAUUUGUGGAGUCAGAGAUAUAAAAUAUAUUUUGAAUA